CUCAGCUUGGGGGCUUGUCACCCUUCAAGAGCCAUUUCCGCAGGAUGACAGUGGUGACCGCAGCCUUCCAGUAGCUCCUGGGAGGCACAGUGGUGGGUGCCAGAGCUUGUGUCACGUUGGGGGCCUGUGUGACCUCUGACUCCUCAUGUUAGCAUUUGGAAUGUUCAGUGGCUUCCAGCUUGGCUCGGCUCCCACACUCCCAACAGUGGCUGUAAAGGAAGCCCCCUGCGGCCCCAUCCUGCUGUGAGGGCAUGGCGGGCGGGCUCGACAUGUCUGCUUUUGCCCUCGCCCUCGCAGGGAGAGGUUCGUUCCGGCCCAUCCAGUCUUCUCUGACCAAAGCAGCUCUGUCUCGGCCGAUCGUGCCCAAGGUCCUUCCACCCCAGGCCACGAGUCACCUGGCCAGUGCUAUCGACUUAGCAGCUACAAGUGCCGGCAUCCUUUCCGGGAACCCCCUCCCUGCCUUGGACACCGAGGGCUUGUCUGGCAUCUCUCCACUGUCUUCAGACGAGGUGACGGGUGCCAUCUCGGGGCAGGACUCUACUGGAACUCACCAGGAUGGAGACACCCUCCCCACCGUGGGGGGCUCCGACCCAUUUGUCAGCAUCCCUUCGAGGCCUGAGCAGGAGCCAGUGGCAGACAGUUUCCAGGUAGAGUGUGCUCUUGG
Molecule: small RNA, 664 nt
Filed under: Pan troglodytes (chimpanzee)
Lineage: Eukaryota; Metazoa; Chordata; Mammalia; Primates; Hominidae
Description: retained intron
Source: RNAcentral